Molecule: long non-coding RNA, 335 nt
Organism: Sceloporus undulatus (fence lizard)
Lineage: Eukaryota; Metazoa; Chordata; Lepidosauria; Squamata; Phrynosomatidae
Exons: 3
Source: RefSeq, a predicted model, not a curated record
AGAUACUAAAACAGAGGAAAGAUUUGGAAAAUUGUUGUUCUAUAUCAGAGGUCGGCAACCUACGGCCCGCGGGCCGGAUCCGGCCCGACAAGGCCUUGGGACCGGCCCCAGCCGGGUCCUGCCACAGAUUGCCGCAACCAUGGCAAAGAAGAGAGUGGCAGUUAUAGGAGCUGGCUCCAGUGGACUUUGUAGCAUCAAAUGUGUUUGGAUGAAGGCCUGGAACCUGUGUGGCUUUGACAGCAGUGAUGAAUUGGAGGACUCUGGAGGUUCAAAGAGAUUCCUGAGGAAGGCCGAGCUAGCAUUUACAAGUCUGUGAUCAUCAACACCUCCAAGGA